CCUACGGGAGGCAGCAGUGGGGAAUCUUGCGCAAUGGGCGAAAGCCUGACGCAGCAACGCCGCGUGCGGGAAGAAGGCUUUCGGGCUGUAAACCGCUUUCAGCAGGAACGAAAAUGACGGUACCUGCAGAAGAAGGAGCGGCCAACUAUGUGCCAGCAGCCGCGGUGAUACAUAGGCUUCAAGCGUUGUCCGGAUUUAUUGGGCGUAAAGAGUUCGUAGGCGGUCGAGUAAGUCGGGUGUGAAAAUUCUGGGCUCAACCCAGAGACGCCACCCGAUACUGCUUAACUUGAGUUCGAUAGGGGAGUGGGGAAUUCCUAGUGUAGCGGUGAAAUGCGCAGAUAUUAGGAGGAACACCGGUGGCGAAGGCGCCACUCUGGAUCGAUACUGACGCUGAGGAACGAAAGCAUGGGUAGCAAACAGGAUUAGAUACCCUGGUAGUCCAUGCCGUAAACGGUGGGCACUAGGUGUGGGAUUCUAUUAACGAAUUCCGNGCCGUCGCUAACGCAUUAAGUGCCCCGCUGGGGAGUACGGUCGCAAGCUAAAACUCAAAUGAAUUGAGGCUUGAAGNGNGCGAGNGCACGAGGGAGAG
This 589-nucleotide ribosomal RNA is filed under the name uncultured bacterium. RNAcentral describes it as "bacterial SSU rRNA". It matches the Rfam family "Bacterial small subunit ribosomal RNA", at positions 338 to 943 of the family's 1533-position model. The record is from RNAcentral.